RNAcentral lists this ribosomal RNA (252 nucleotides) under uncultured bacterium. Its description in RNAcentral is "partial 16S ribosomal RNA". It matches the Rfam family "Bacterial small subunit ribosomal RNA", at positions 524 to 776 of the family's 1533-position model. The record is from RNAcentral.
UACAGAGGUCUCAAGCGUUGUUCGGAUUCAUUGGGCGUAAAGGGUGCGUAGGCGGCGCGGUAAGUCGGGUGUGAAAUCUCGGGGCUUAACUCCGAAACUGCAUCGAUACUGCCGUGCUUGAGGACUGGAGAGGAGACUGGAAUUUACGGUGUAGCGGUGAAAUGCGUAGAUAUCGUAAGGAAGACCAGUGGCGAAGGCGGGUCUCUGGACAGUUCCUGACGCUGAGGCACGAAGGCCAGGGGAGCAAACGGG